Molecule: ribosomal RNA, 31 nt
Filed under: Vittia salina
Lineage: Eukaryota; Viridiplantae; Streptophyta; Bryopsida; Hypnales; Amblystegiaceae
Also listed under: 1 other name
Description: partial 26S ribosomal RNA
Source: RNAcentral
CAGACCUCUAAUCGGAAAAGACUACCCGUCU